RNAcentral lists this ribosomal RNA (979 nucleotides) under 'Pravistylus exquadratus' phytoplasma. RNAcentral's name for it is "bacterial SSU rRNA". It matches the Rfam family "Bacterial small subunit ribosomal RNA", at positions 216 to 1205 of the family's 1533-position model. Lineage: Bacteria; Bacillati; Mycoplasmatota; Mollicutes; Acholeplasmatales; Acholeplasmataceae. The record is from RNAcentral.
UGCUUAAAGAGGGGCUUGCGGCACAUUAGUUAGUUGGUAGGGUAAAGGCCUACCAAGACUAUGAUGUGUAGCUGGACUGAGAGGUUGAACAGCCACAUUGGGACUGAGACACGGCCCAAACUCCUACGGGAGGCAGCAGUAGGGAAUUUUCGGCAAUGGAGGAAACUCUGACCGAGCAACGCCGCGUGAACGAUGAAGUAUUUCGGUAUGUAAAGUUCUUUUAUUGAAGAAGAAAAAAUAGUGGAAAAACUAUCUUGACGCUAUUCAAUGAAUAAGCCCCGGCAAACUAUGUGCCAGCAGCCGCGGUAAUACAUAGGGGGCGAGCGUUAUCCGGAAUUAUUGGGCGUAAAGGGUGCGUAGGCGGUUUAAUAAGUCUAUAGUUUAAUUUCAGUGCUUAACACUGUCCUGCUAUAGAAACUAUUAAACUGGAGUGAGAUAGAGGCAAGUGGAAUUCCAUGUGUAGCGGUAAAAUGCGUAAAUAUAUGGAGGAACACCAGAGGCGUAGGCGGCUUGCUGGGUCUUUACUGACGCUGAGGCACGAAAGCGUGGGGAGCAAACAGGAUUAGAUACCCUGGUAGUCCACGCCGUAAACGAUGAGUACUAAGUGUCGGGGUUACUCGGUACUGAAGUUAACACAUUAAGUACUCCGCCUGAGUAGUACGUACGCAAGUAUGAAACUUAAAGGAAUUGACGGGACUCCGCACAAGCGGUGGAUCAUGUUGUUUAAUUCGAAGAUACACGAAAAACCUUACCAGGUCUUGACAUACUCUGCAAAGCUAUAGCAAUAUAGUGGAGGUUAUCAGGGAUACAGGUGGUGCAUGGUUGUCGUCAGCUCGUGUCGUGAGAUGUUAGGUUAAGUCCUAAAACGAGCGCAACCCUUGUCACUAGUUGCCAGCAUGUUAUGAUGGGCACUUUAGUGAGACUGCCAAUGAAAAAUUGGAGGAAGGUGAGGAUCACGUCAAAUCAUCAUGCCCCUUAU